GCGCCGGUGGUGUAACACAGCAUUCCCGCCCGGUUAGAGGGAGGUGCGGGUUCGAGUCCCGCCUGGCGCC
Molecule: non-coding RNA, 70 nt
Organism: Heligmosomoides polygyrus
Lineage: Eukaryota; Metazoa; Nematoda; Chromadorea; Rhabditida; Heligmosomidae
Source: Rfam